RNAcentral lists this ribosomal RNA (252 nucleotides) under uncultured bacterium. RNAcentral describes it as "partial 16S ribosomal RNA". It matches the Rfam family "Bacterial small subunit ribosomal RNA", at positions 29 to 309 of the family's 1533-position model. The record is from RNAcentral.
AACGAACGCUGGCGGCAGGCUUAACACAUGCAAGUCGAACGCCCCGCAAGGGGAGUGGCAGACGGGUGAGUAACGCGUGGGAAUCUACCCAAUUCUUCGGAACAACUGAGGGAAACUUCAGCUAAUACCGGAUACGCCCUACGGGGAAAGGAUUUAUCGGAAUUGGAUGAGCCCGCGUUGGAUUAGCUAGUUGGUGAGGUAAUGGCUCACCAAGGCGACGAUCCAUAGCUGGUCUGAGGAGGAUGAUCAGCC